Molecule: unclassified non-coding RNA, 2943 nt
Filed under: Pectinophora gossypiella (pink bollworm)
Lineage: Eukaryota; Metazoa; Arthropoda; Insecta; Lepidoptera; Gelechiidae
Description: glutamate--cysteine ligase regulatory subunit
Source: RNAcentral
UUUCUUCUGUCAAUUCAUCUGUUCUGUCAUCAGAUUACUGGAUAAAAUGUGAAAUAAUUACAAAAAUUCUAGUAUUUGCAGACUCGUUGUUAAACCAAAAGCCACGCCCACCCCAUAUAUGCUGAUUAAUGAUGAUAAGCCGCACAGACAUUUGCUACUAUUUCGUCAUAAUUUGUCAUAAGUACGUCACUGGCUCGCCAGCUGAUUCGCUAUAAAAUUAUGAGUUUAUUCAUGCAAGGCCAGUAUAGUACGACGCCGGCGUUGCACGGUUGCUGUUACGCGUGAUUAGAAUUAAAUAUUUAUACUCUAGUAUCUGUAGAUUGGCCGGUAACCUUGGAGGCAGGUGUGGUGGUCAAUAUUUUCUUUUGUGCAGUACAUAACAGUUCCAAUUAGACAGAAUGUUGAAAACACCAUCGAAAGUGACUAUAAAUACGGGGAAUGUUUUGAACCUCAUCGAUAUUAAGAAGAAGGCUGGACAAAACGUUUCAGAGGAGCUAUCAGAGAGCAUUAAGCUGACACUGACAGAAUGGGGUUCACAAAACCCUACACCGCUACAAAACGGCUCGACCCCUGGUCAUCCACCGAGCGCCCAGAAUCCACAGACCUCCAGAACACACUCAGAUUACAUGGUAGUGUCCACGUCGACGCCCAAAGAAGCAGUGCUCAACAUCACCAGGCCGCAUGAUGACGUCAGAAACAAAAUGGCGGAGGAGGAGAGAAAAAAUUUGAAGAUUGGCGUGAAAAUUUUCAUAAAUGAAGACAGUACUGCUGCUUUGACGGAGUGCUUGGAAAAUGUGUUCACAGCCCUGCAGACGGACUACAUAGACAAUGUGAUACUGGCUUACAACCCUGAACUGUCCCACCGCGAGGAACCCGGUGACGACGCCAACAUCAACCACAGCUACGUCACCAAAGCGUCACCAAUAUCACUCGGCAGCAAUAUUGCGCGCAUGUCGAGUACGGAGGUAGACGCGGACAGCGAAGCGGACGCGCGCAAGUGUGACGCCAUCCUGCCGGGGAUCAAGGUGCUGUGGGCCGUGCUUGAAGAUUAUGUCAAACAGGGUCGCGUGCUCCAGCUGGGCGUGGCGGACGUGGGCGGCGGGUGUCUUCGCCGCCUGCACGCGUGGGCGCGUGUGCGGCCCGCCAUCGCCCAGAUCAACCUGGCCUCGUGCUGCGUCGUGCCGCCGUCCUUGCAUGCCUUCUGUCGCGCCAAUGAUGUGCAGUUGCUCACUCAUGCUGAUCCGCCAGACCUACUGUCAAUAGCGGCGGUGAAGACGUUAUCGGACGCGGGUGUCGGCUGUGGCAACCUGGAGUGGUGCGCGCGCUACCAGGUGCACAUCAAGUGUCGAGGAGUCUUGGCUUUGAAAGGCUACGUGUGUAAAGCCACCCUGGGCAACGUGGAGAAGAAACAACCGUAACACCUAUCCAGCAUAUAGAGAGAGAACAUUCGUUCAAACAAGGCACAAACAAACAGGAGGAAUUACAGGGCGGUUAAAAUGGCCACAUCGAAGCAAUUCAUCUGCGCAUAUAAAAGUAAGUGCGCAAUGCAAACAAAUGUCAAAUAGCAAUAUUGCUUUCUUAGAUGAAUUGCUUCGAUGUGGCCAUUUUAACCCCCUAGGUUAUUUGAUAGAAAUGUAAAAACAUACUUAAUUAAUACCACCGUAGGCAUAAUGGGCCAUCCACGUUUCUAAUGCGGAAAAUAGAGCCCAGUACAGUCAUGAGCAAUACCAUGUACCCACUUUAGAACCCUGUCGCACUAUCAUAUUUGAAAUUUAAUGAGACUUACGGUGUAAUUUGUCAAAAAAGUUAAUGUGACAUGGUUUCAAAGUGUAUACAUAUUAGUACUCGUGACCGUACCAUAUCCCGCAAUGUAAAGUGACCAGUGACCCUAUUUUUCAACCACUCGCCUUCAAGUCACUUUUGAAAAUACAUACCCGUUUCUCAUAGCACAUUGUAACGAAAACUUUGAGGGAUGAUUCAAACCUCUAUUCUGAAUAUUUAUCAAGUGGAAUGUUGCGUCGAAAAAGUGUUGAACUGAAAAUGAUUCAUGAAUUUUCCGACAAGAAAUUCCACUUGAUAUCAACUCAGAAUCAUGAUCUGAAUCAUCCCGUUAUUCGUUACGAUGUCACUAACACCCUGUAUAUACCUGUUUCACAUAGCUCAUCAGAAUGUGGGAUUAGCAAGAUGAGACGGGUGUAUAUUUUCGCACGUGAGUUAAAAGCGAGCGAUUCAAAAAUAACGCCCCUAACUGACGCUGCGAUGUACGGUCACGAGCAUUAAUAUGUAUACACUUUGGUACCAUGUCACAUUAACUUUUUUGACAAAUUGAACUGUAAGUCUCACUAAAUGUCAGAUUUGUUAGUGCGACAGAGUCCUUAAGUGGGUACAUUAUAUUGCUCAUGACUGUAUAUCCGUAGUAAACAUUCGCCGUCUUAUUACAAAACGAAUACUAAAUAUAAUAGCGUCGUUUCGGGCAACUACCAACUUAAUUUGACAGGACUAAAACUAGCUGCAUCUCUUUCUUACACGUAUUAGAAGAGAAGGACGGCAGUAAUUUAAGAGCUGUUGAAGAAUUGGGUUAAGUUUGGCGCCCAAACAGGCACUAAUACCAGGUUUAAAAUAGUCCCGACACCACGGCGCGGCGCGGCGCUACUGUCGCAGAUUUUGCAUAGAAAUAUGACUAGUCAAUUAGUUCCAUUAAAAUCCGAGGACUUCUUUCUUGGGGGGACUAUACUUUAGACCAGUAUGGCUAACUUACGCAACGUGAUAAAAUUUUGUCACGGACAUUUUAUCGAUACAAUAUAAUUAUGUCGUUUUGUCGAUUGGUGCUAAUAUGUGAAUCCAAAUAAGUCAUGUUCUGUCAAAAUACGAACAAAAUCACGUACGGUCACGAGCAUUAAUAUGUAUACACUUUGGUACCAUGUCACAUUAACUUUUUUGACA